Molecule: ribosomal RNA, 497 nt
Filed under: uncultured bacterium
Lineage: Bacteria
Description: partial 16S ribosomal RNA
Rfam family: Bacterial small subunit ribosomal RNA
Source: RNAcentral
GAUGAACGCUGGCGGCGUGCCUAAUACAUGCAAGUCGAGCGAACAGAUGAGGAGCUUGCUCCUCUGACGUUAGCGGCGGACGGGUGAGUAACACGUGGAUAACCUACCUAUAAGACUGGGAUAACUUCGGGAAACCGGAGCUAACACCGGAUAAUAUAUUGAACCGCAUGGUUCAAUAGUGAAAGACGGUUUUGCUGUCACUUAUAGAUGGAUCCGCGCCGCAUUAGCUAGUUGGUAAGGUAACGGCUUACCAAGGCAACGAUGCGUAGCCGACCUGAGAGGGUGAUCGGCCACACUGGAACUGAGACACGGUCCAGACUCCUACGGGAGGCAGCAGUAGGGAAUCUUCCGCAAUGGGCGAAAGCCUGACGGAGCAACGCCGCGUGAGUGAUGAAGGUCUUCGGAUCGUAAAACUCUGUUAUUAGGGAAGAACAAAUGUGUAAGUAACUAUGCACGUCUUGACGGUACAUAAUCAGAAAGCCACGGCUAACUACGUG